RNAcentral lists this ribosomal RNA (251 nucleotides) under uncultured prokaryote. RNAcentral's name for it is "partial 16S rRNA". It matches the Rfam family "Bacterial small subunit ribosomal RNA", at positions 525 to 775 of the family's 1533-position model. The record is from RNAcentral.
ACGUAGGGGGCGAGCGUUGUCCGGAAUUACUGGGCGUAAAGCGCACGUAGGCGGGCUGUCAAGUCGGCCGUGAAAGGCACUGGCUCAACCGGUGUUUGACGGUCGAUACUGGCGGUCUGGAGUAUGGGAGAGGGAACUGGAAUUUCCGGUGUAGCGGUGGAAUGCGUAGAUAUCGGGAGGGACACCAGUGGCAGAGGCGGGUUCCUGGCCCAUUACGGGCGCUGAGGUAAGAAAGCGGGGGGAGGGGACGG